RNAcentral lists this unclassified non-coding RNA (335 nucleotides) under soil metagenome. Its description in RNAcentral is "partial contains 5.8S ribosomal RNA, internal transcribed spacer 2, and large subunit ribosomal RNA". The stretch from base 1 to 120 matches the Rfam family "5.8S ribosomal RNA", at positions 35 to 154 of the family's 154-position model. The record is from RNAcentral.
GAUGAAGAACGUAGCGAAAUGCGAUAAGUAAUGUGAAUUGCAGAAUUCAGUGAAUCAUCGAAUCUUUGAACGCACAUUGCGCCCGCCAGUAUUCUGGCGGGCAUGCCUGUUCGAGCGUCAUUUCAACCAUCAAGCCCCCGGCUUGUGUUGGGGACCUGCGGCUGCCGCAGGCCCUGAAAACCAGUGGCGGGCUCGCUAGUCACUCCGAGCGUAGUAAUACAUCUCGCUCAGGGCGUGCUGCGGGUUCCGGCCGUUAAAGAGCCUUAUUUACCCAAGGUUGACCUCGGAUCAGGUAGGAAGACCCGCUGAACUUAAGCAUAUCAAUAAGCGGAGGA